RNAcentral lists this ribosomal RNA (928 nucleotides) under Clostridia bacterium enrichment culture clone HB_114. Its description in RNAcentral is "bacterial SSU rRNA". It matches the Rfam family "Bacterial small subunit ribosomal RNA", at positions 8 to 916 of the family's 1533-position model. Lineage: Bacteria; Bacillati; Bacillota; Clostridia. The record is from RNAcentral.
AGAGUUUGAUCAUGGCUCAGAACGAACGCUGGCGGCGGGCCUAAUACAUGCAAGUCGAACGAGAAAAUCCGGCUUCGGCUGGGUGAGUAAAGUGGCGAACGGGUGAGUAACACGUGGGCAAUCUGCCCUUAAGUUUGGGAUAAGCCCUCGAAAGGGGGUCUAAUACCGGAUAAUAUCCGGAGAUGGCAUCUUUUCCGGAUCAAAGGCGGAGCAAUCUGCCGCUUAGGGGUGAGCCCGCGUCCCAUUAGCUUGUUGGUGAGGUAACGGCUCACCAAGGCUGUGAUGGGUAGCCGGCCUGAGAGGGUGAUCGGCCACACUGGGACUGAGAUACGGCCCAGACUCCUACGGGAGGCAGCAGUAGGGAAUAUUGCGCAAUGGACGAAAGUCUGACGCAGCCACGCCGCGUGGAUGAUGAAGCUUUUCGGAGUGUAAAAUCCUGUCAGUGGGGAAGAACCGGUCGGGGAGUAACUGCCCCGGCCCUGACGGUACCCGCAGAGGAAGUUCCGGCUAACUCCGUGCCAGCAGCCGCGGUAAUACGGGGGGAACAAGCGUUGUUCGGAUUCACUGGGCGUAAAGGGCGUGUAGGCGGAUUUGCAAGUCAGAUGUGAAAACCGGCGGCUCAACCACCGGCCUGCAUCUGAUACUGCUAAUCUUGAGUACGGUAGAGGAAAGUGGAAUUCCAGGUGUAGCGGUGACAUGCGUAGAUAUCUGGAAGAACACCGGUGGCGAAGGCGGCUUUCUGGACCGAUACUGACGCUGAGGCGCGAAAGCCAGGGGAGCAAACAGGAUUAGAUACCCUGGUAGUCCUGGCCGUAAACGAUGGGUACUAGGUGUUGGAGGUAUCGACCCCUUCAGUGCCGCAGCAAACGCAUUAAGUACCCCGCCUGGGGAGUACGAUCGCAAGGUUGAAACUCAAAUGAAUUGACGG